UCAUAAGUGGAAGAGAGAAAAGGAGAAAUUGAAUGAUCUUUGUUCAUUUUUCUUUCUAUUAUGACCCAGAAAAAGACAUAUGGAGGGAUCGGAUUGGAGGAAAAGGGCAGAGUGGAAUUUGGAACUUCCUUUCAAGUGGGAGAUGAACCAGGGCCAACGGAGGACGGCUGCCUGCUGACAGCUGCCAUUUCCACAGACUCACUGGGCCAAAGUGAUAGCCAACACUGAGAAGAAGAAUCCAGUGUCCAGAUUUUUCAAAGGGCUGCAGAAGUCUUGUUCUGCUGGAUAUAUAUUUUUAAGUUAGAGCUUGUUGAACAACAGAAGAUUAUAGGACCAGCCAGAGACUCAAGGAGAGCCAAUGGGGGUAUUAUGGUUUUGGAUUUAGCUAACCACUGACUGGAGGAACUGAGACAGCAUACAGUGGCAAAGCCUUUGACAAAUAUGAGCUACCUCAUGGUCACAAGAUAGCUGCUAUACCUUCAAGCAUCAUAUCUUCAUUUCAAGCAGAAAUAAGGAAGAAAGAUAAGGGAUGAAAGAAAAUAAGAGUGACAGUUGAAUCUAUCCCUUUUAAUCAAGAAAGCAUAACCUUCCUGGAAAACCUGUGCUACAGGCUUCUGCUUACAUCUAUUAGCCAGAACUGUGACAAUGGCUAUCUUUACCGGAAGAGUGGAUAGCGAGAAGACAGCUGAGUCAGCUAACCAACAGUGAAU
RNAcentral lists this long non-coding RNA (710 nucleotides) under Equus caballus (horse). Its description in RNAcentral is "lncRNA (ENSECAG00000032234.3)". Lineage: Eukaryota; Metazoa; Chordata; Mammalia; Perissodactyla; Equidae. The record is from RNAcentral.